CAUAACCUCUGGGUUGAUAUACCCCAAACCCGCAUACCAUGAGUAUGUCGGUUCCAAAACACCUGAGAAGAGUAAGUUUAAUCAACCUCCUAUUGGUUACCCAGAGUUAAUGCGCGUGCACGGUGCAUACAUAAAGACGUUUUCAAUGGAUCGCCGAUUUCACGAGUCAAAAUGGAAAAUCAAAGUGAACAAAAAAGAGCGGCAUACUUCACAGAGGUGGAGUUGGAGGUUUUAAUGCACGCAUAUGAAGAAUUCAAGCCAAUAAUAAUGAAAAAAAGCAAUACGACUGCAUCGGCUAAAGAAAGAGAGUUGGCUUGGCAAAAAAUAACGGACAGAGUAAAUGCGUGUAAUCCUUCUGGAGCCAGAAGAACUUUGAUCCAAGUCAAAAUGAAACACAAAAACAUUCUGCAAAAAGCUAAUAGAAAGAAGGCUGAAGCCCGUCUAACUGGCGGGGGCCCACCACCACCUCCCCUCACCCCAUCUGAGGAGCUGGCUCUGUCCCUUAAUAAAGGGCGACUAGUGGUUGCUGGCAUUCCACGGGGUACUUCAUCA
Molecule: non-coding RNA, 552 nt
Organism: Paramormyrops kingsleyae
Lineage: Eukaryota; Metazoa; Chordata; Actinopteri; Osteoglossiformes; Mormyridae
Source: RefSeq, a predicted model, not a curated record